ACACAUGCAAGUCGAGGGGAAACGACAUCGAAAGCUUGCUUUUGGUGGGCGUCGACCGGCGCACGGGUGAGUAACGCGUAUCCAACCUGCCCACCACUUGGGGAUAACCUUGCGAAAGUAAGACUAAUACCCAAUGAUAUCUCUAGAAGACAUCUGAAAGAGAUUAAAGAUUUAUCGGUGAUGGAUGGGGAUGCGUCUGAUUAGCUUGUUGGCGGGGUAACGGCCCACCAAGGCAACGAUCAGUAGGGGUUCUGAGAGGAAGGUCCCCCACAUUGGAACUGAGACACGGUCCAAACUCCUACGGGAGGCAGCAGUGAGGAAUAUUGGUCAAUGGACGAGAGUCUGAACCAGCCAAGUAGCGUGCAGGAUGACGGCCCUAUGGGUUGUAAACUGCUUUUAUAAGGGAAUAAAGUGAGUCUCGUGAGACUUUUUGCAUGUACCUUAUGAAUAAGGACCGGCUAAUUCCGUGCCAGCAGCCGCGGUAAUACGGAAGGUCCGGGCGUUAUCCGAAUUUAUUGGGUUUAAAGGGAGCGUAGGCCGGAGAUUAAGCGUGUUGUGAAAUGUAGAUGCUCAACAUCUGCACUGCAGCGCGAACUGGUUUCCUUGAGUACGCACAAAGUGGGCGGAAUUCGUGGUGUAGCGGUGAAAUGCUUAGAUAUCACGAAGAACUCCGAUUGCGAAGGCAGCUCACUGGAGCGCAACUGACGCUGAAGCUCGAAAGUGCGGGUAUCGAACAGGAUUAGAUACCCUGGUAGUCCGCACGGUAAACGAUGGAUGCCCGCUGUUGGUCUGAAUAGGUCAGCGGCCAAGCGAAAGCAUUAAGCAUCCCACCUGGGGAGUACGCCGGCAACGGUGAAACUCAAAGGAAUUGACGGGGGCCCGCACAAGCGGAGGAACAUGUGGUUUA
Molecule: ribosomal RNA, 907 nt
Filed under: uncultured bacterium
Lineage: Bacteria
Description: bacterial SSU rRNA
Rfam family: Bacterial small subunit ribosomal RNA
Source: RNAcentral